Molecule: non-coding RNA, 171 nt
Filed under: Candidatus Sulfopaludibacter sp. SbA4
Lineage: Bacteria; Pseudomonadati; Acidobacteriota; Terriglobia; Bryobacterales; Solibacteraceae
Source: RNAcentral
CAAGGGCAUACCGGAGGCCUGAAAGAAGCGCGGAGUAAACGUGCGGGCCGAUGUACAAGAACCGGAUCUGAGGCAUACGGUGCCGGGCGAGCGGGCAAAUGACCGCGAAGCCCCUUUCCAUCAAAGGCACUGGUUGUAAAUUCGGCGGCUGCGUGCGGAAGGUGGUCGAGC